RNAcentral lists this ribosomal RNA (465 nucleotides) under uncultured bacterium. RNAcentral's name for it is "bacterial SSU rRNA". It matches the Rfam family "Bacterial small subunit ribosomal RNA", at positions 31 to 505 of the family's 1533-position model. The record is from RNAcentral.
GAACGCUGGCGGUGCGCCUUAUGCAUGCAAGUCGAGCGAAGCUUUUCAGUAGUUUACUACAGAAAAUGACUGAGCGGCGAACGGGUGAGUAACGCGUGAGCAACCUACCUUAGUUACUGGGAUAGCCCGAGGAAACUCGGAUUAAUACCGGAUAUUCUUAUUUAAUCACAUGAUUUUUUAAGGAAAGGUCAGCCGAACUAAGAUGGGCUCGCGUUCUAUCAGCUAGUUGGUAGGGUAAUGGCCUACCAAGGCUACGACGGAUAGCUGGUCUGAGAGGACGAUCAGCCACACUGGGACUGAGACACGGCCCAGACUCCUACGGGAGGCUGCAGCAGGGAAUAUUGCGCAAUGAGCGAAAGCUUGACGCAGCGACACCGCGUGUGGGAUGACGGAUCUAGGUUUGUAAACCACUUUCAGGAGGGAAGAAAAUGACGGUACCUCCACAAGAAGCCCCGGCCAACUACG